GUCAAGAUGGCUGAGCAGUCUAAGGCCCUGUGUUAAGGUUACAGACCCCCAGGAGACGUGGGUUCGACUCCCACUUUGGACA
Molecule: transfer RNA, 82 nt
Filed under: Scleropages formosus (Asian bonytongue)
Lineage: Eukaryota; Metazoa; Chordata; Actinopteri; Osteoglossiformes; Osteoglossidae
Rfam family: tRNA
About the family: Transfer RNA (tRNA) molecules are approximately 80 nucleotides in length. Their secondary structure includes four short double-helical elements and three loops (D, anti-codon, and T loops).
Source: Rfam by way of RNAcentral